AAUUCGGGUGUCAGAUUUGAGGGGGGAAAAGACCUUAUUAAUAAAAUAAAUUAAAAAAAUAAAUAUUUUUACAUAUUUUAUGUAAUUAAUUGAGGUUAAAGGUUGGCUGAGAUCAUGCUGGGCAAGCCCUGAAGGGCUCCAGAGCCAAAGGACCUCUCUGCCCUAAGAGCUUAAAAGUUCUAAGCAUUAAUUCAGUCACAGACGUCAGGAAAGUAAAAAAAUAAAUGAAAUAAAUAAACCUGAAUCUCCCUAAUCUGAGGAUUUAAUUGUGAAUCCUGUGUUCUCGCAUAGGAAGGGAACGCGACAGCCGAUUUUGACUGGAAGAGGUGGCGAGACAGGAAAAAAAAGGAUUUUCCCCGCAAUCUUUGGAGUCAAUCGUUCACUGUGAAAUCCACUGAAGUCCGAGUGGUUUUCCACACUCACCUCCCGAAUUCCAGGAGCAGAGGAAGGAGCAGGGAAUAAUGAAAUCACAGCUCUUUAAUGAGCCUCAGCUUUCAACAGCUCCGGGAUCCUCCAGAGCAAGGGCUCAGUUCCAGCAAAAUGACAAAAAUCUCUGUUCCUGGUCUGGAGGGAGAGCACAGCAAGAUCAGCAGGACACAAAUCCUGGGUCAGACUGGAAACCUGAGCAAAACCCAACAUGUACCCAGGGGAGCUGUGUGAGAACCCAAAUCCUGAAACACCCAGAGGAGCUGUGUGAGAACCC
Molecule: long non-coding RNA, 703 nt
Filed under: Parus major (Great Tit)
Lineage: Eukaryota; Metazoa; Chordata; Aves; Passeriformes; Paridae
Description: lncRNA (ENSPMJG00000009280.1)
Source: RNAcentral